RNAcentral lists this ribosomal RNA (490 nucleotides) under uncultured bacterium. RNAcentral's name for it is "partial 16S ribosomal RNA". It matches the Rfam family "Bacterial small subunit ribosomal RNA", at positions 30 to 507 of the family's 1533-position model. The record is from RNAcentral.
AUUGAACGCUGGCGGCAGGCCUAACACAUGCAAGUCGAACGGUAACAGGAAGCAGCUUGCUGCUUUGCUGACGAGUGGCGGACGGGUGAGUAAUGUCUGGGAAACUGCCUGAUGGAGGGGGAUAACUACUGGAAACGGUAGCUAAUACCGCAUAACGUCGCAAGACCAAAGAGGGGGACCUUCGGGCCUCUUGCCAUCGGAUGUGCCCAGAUGGGAUUAGCUAGUAGGUGGGGUAACGGCUCACCUAGGCGGCGAUCCCUAGCUGGUCUGAGAGGAUGACCGGCCACACUGGAACUGAGACACGGUCCAGACUCCUACGGGAGGCAGCAGUGGGGAAUAUUGCACAAUGGGCGCAAGCCUGAUGCAGCCAUGCCGCGUGUAUGAAGAAGGCCUUCGGGUUGUAAAGUACUUUCAGCGGGGAGGAAGGGAGUAAAGUUAAUACCUUGGCUCAUUGACGUUACCCGCAGAAGAAGCACCGGCUAACUCCGUG